GAUCAACGCUGGCGGCGUGCCUAAUGCAUGCAAGUCGAACGGCAGCGGGGGAGAAGCUUGCUUUUCCUGCCGGCGAGUGGCGAACGGGUGAGUAAUACAUCGGAACGUGCCCUGUAGUGGGGGAUAACUAGUCGAAAGAUUAGCUAAUACCGCAUACGACCUGAGGGUGAAAGUGGGGGACCGCAAGGCCUCAUGCUAUAGGAGCGGCCGAUGUCUGAUUAGCUAGUUGGUGGGGUAAAGGCCUACCAAGGCGACGAUCAGUAGCUGGUCUGAGAGGACGAUCAGCCACACUGGGACUGAGACACGGCCCAGACUCCUACGGGAGGCAGCAGUGGGGAAUUUUGGACAAUGGGCGAAAGCCUGAUCCAGCAAUGCCGCGUGUGUGAAGAAGGCCUUCGGGUUGUAAAGCACUUUUGUCCGGAAAGAAAUGGCUCUGGUUAAUACCUGGGGUCGAUGACGGUACCGGAAGAAUAAGGACCGGCUAACUACGUGCCAGCCGCCGCGGUAA
This 508-nucleotide ribosomal RNA is filed under the name uncultured bacterium. RNAcentral describes it as "partial 16S ribosomal RNA". It matches the Rfam family "Bacterial small subunit ribosomal RNA", at positions 28 to 523 of the family's 1533-position model. The record is from RNAcentral.